GCUCAGAGUAUAAGCCAAUGGAGCUUGGAAGGCUUCCGCAGAUGGUGUCCAUCAUACGUGGUGUUCUUAAGACCUUGAGUGUGGCUCGUGAAGCGAAGCAUUGAGUUUGCCGACCAGCUGUCGUGCGGGGGGUUCAGCUUGGGAGGGUUGGGUUUCGGUCCAACAGUUUUCCUUCUGUCCCCUUUUGAAUGGACGUUCAGAGCUCUUGGUCUAAUGCGGUUAUGCCCACCACAGCACGUUGUGAGGUCACCCACAGGCUCAACUGCCGAUCGCGCAUCCAGGACGAUGGCAACGAUGCGUUGUCGAUGAUGGCUCGAGAGAGACUUCACUCACACGCGUGUCUAGUCCUGGGUCGGGCGGCGACCGAGAUAAACCUGGUACGAUCCUCUUGCGACGAGCUGCUUUCUGGCCAGACCGACGCCCGGACGCCUCCACUGUGCCGGAAGCGUCAACCCCAGGCGGUGUGAACCCAGCUGCAUUAUGUAAGGUCUCUCAGCCGGGCGUUGGUCUGAGUGGUGUUAAGUCCAGCACCAUCGGUCACGUCUCGAAACACGGGCCAAGGAGUAUAGCAUGUGUGCAAGUCUAAGGGUCUCACAAAACCCGAAGGCGAAGUGAAAGCAAGACUGUGGCGGGGGAGCUACGGCAAACCCGCCGGCCUAGUGGCGCGUGCGUCGCCUGGCUUUUAGCAGAGCUGAUCCUGUUUUCUCGGUUAAUUCUUGGUGCAGGCGCAAGCUCCGGGCUCACGUACAACACUGGUCACGCCUCGCG
Molecule: ribosomal RNA, 768 nt
Filed under: Niphargus stygius
Lineage: Eukaryota; Metazoa; Arthropoda; Malacostraca; Amphipoda; Niphargidae
Description: partial large subunit ribosomal RNA
Source: RNAcentral